CAAUCACGGGAGGUCAUACCUGCACAAUGCCUCGAGGGGUCAAUUGCCGCGGUAGCCUGACCGUGCUAAGGUAGCGUAAUCAAUAGCCUAUUAAUUGUUGGCCUGUAUCAAUGGUCUCACGCUGGCGGCGCUGUCUCUUCGGUACUUAUUCGAAUUUAACCUGAGGGUGAAAAGGCCCUAAUACAACUGAAAGACGAUUAGACCCUAUCGAACUUUGGGUAGACUGCUUUUGCUACAGGGUAACGCCUAUGACAUGUAGAAAACCUUUGGUUGGGGAAACCGGGAGCCACAUAAAACGCUCGCCCCCCACCCACACUGACACGAGCAACCUGAACAGCCCUAAAAAGCUGCGAAGGGCUCUUACCUUGACCAGCCUACGGGAAACUUAGAUUUUAGCCUUAAACAGAAAUGACAGUGCACAGCUAGAUAAUAUUAUGGACCCAACAAGUGCACCCCGAGUGCCCUCGCCGGGGUAACAAAAAUUCUGCGAGUCCAUUUGGGGGCGCAUAGUUGCGAACAGGGAAGAGUUACCGUAGGGAUAACAGCGUAAUCCUUCCGGAGAGACCACAUUAAGGGAGGGGUUUGCGACCUCGAUGUUGGCUUAGGGCGACCUGGAAGUGCAGGGGCUUCCAAGGGUUGGUCUGUUCGACCAUUAAAG
RNAcentral lists this ribosomal RNA (658 nucleotides) under Notoacmea elongata. Its description in RNAcentral is "partial 16S ribosomal RNA". It matches the Rfam family "Bacterial large subunit ribosomal RNA", at positions 1840 to 2593 of the family's 2925-position model. Lineage: Eukaryota; Metazoa; Mollusca; Gastropoda; Acmaeidae. The record is from RNAcentral.